This 384-nucleotide ribosomal RNA is filed under the name marine Metazoa environmental sample. RNAcentral's name for it is "SSU rRNA". It matches the Rfam family "Eukaryotic small subunit ribosomal RNA", at positions 587 to 972 of the family's 1831-position model. Lineage: Eukaryota; Metazoa. The record is from RNAcentral.
AGCUCCAAUAGCGUAUAUUAAAGUUGUUGCAGUUAAAAAGCUCGUAGUUGGAUCUCGGGUACUAGCAUGUGGUACGCAUAACUGCUGAUAAUACAUGUCUGGUCCUAAUCAAUCGGUUGGAAGUUGAUGUCAUUCAUUGGGGGUUUUCGGUAGCCGGUACGUUUACUUUGAGAAAAUUAGAGUGCUUAAAGCAGGCUAUAGGCCUGAAUAAUGUUGCAUGGAAUAAUAGAAUAGGACCUCGGUGCUAUUUUGUUGGUUUUGUAGAGCAUUGAGGUAAUGAUUAAUAGGGACAGACGGGGGCAUUCGUAUUGCGGUGUUAGAGGUGAAAUUCUUGGAUCGCCGCAAGACGAACAACUGCGAAAGCAUUUGCCAAGAAUGUUUUCA